This is a long non-coding RNA of Tupaia belangeri chinensis (Chinese tree shrew), 362 nucleotides long. RefSeq lists it as uncharacterized. Lineage: Eukaryota; Metazoa; Chordata; Mammalia; Scandentia; Tupaiidae. The record is from RefSeq and is a predicted model, not a curated record. The transcript has 3 exons.
CAUGUUUAAGCACCACCAUGAUUAUGGUUGUUGAAUGUUCCUCUUCAGGCCAAUCAAAACACACUUUGGUCUUUACUUGACUGUCUUCCAGUCAUCUCAAAAUUAACAUGCCCUGAAGAGAACGCUUGAUUAUCACUCCAUCGAAGUCUAUUUCUCUCCCAGUCUUCAACUACUGAGUAAAUGGCACUGGUAUCUGAACCGUGACUUAAUCCAAAAUUGGGUCUUCACACAAGAAUUUACCACCAGCUUGUGCUAGCCUCAGAUCAAGGGCACAUGCAUGCCUAGAAUAUUCAGGGAGGUCUCCAAAUGCAAAUCUGGAACCUACCCAUGUGAUCAGCCUCACAGAACAUGGCAUUUGACUG